Molecule: ribosomal RNA, 497 nt
Filed under: uncultured bacterium
Lineage: Bacteria
Description: partial 16S ribosomal RNA
Rfam family: Bacterial small subunit ribosomal RNA
Source: RNAcentral
GAUGAACGCUGGCGGCGUGCCUAAUACAUGCAAGUCGAGCGAACAGACGAGGAGCUUGCUCCUCUGACGUUAGCGGCGGACGGGUGAGUAACACGUGGAUAACCUACCUAUAAGACUGGGAUAACUUCGGGAAACCGGAGCUAAUACCGGAUAAUAUAUUGAACCGCAUGGUUGAAUAGUGAAAGACGGUUUUGCUGUCACUUAUAGAUGGAUCCGCGCCGCAUUAGCUAGUUGGUAAGGUAACAGCUUACCAAGGCAACGAUGCGUAGCCGACCUGAGAGGGUGAUCGGCCACACUGGAACUGAGACACGGUCCAGACUCCUACGGGAGGCAGCAGUAGGGAAUCUUCCGCAAUGGGCGAAAGCCUGACGGAGCAACGCCGCGUGAGUGAUGAAGGUCUUCGGAUCGUAAAACUCUGUUAUUAGGGAAGAACAAAUGUGUAAGUAACUAUGCACGUCUUGACGGUACCUAAUCAGAAAGCCACGGCUAACUACGUG